AGGUAUUUGAUAAUGAGUCCAUUAACUCAAUAAUCAUUGCAGACCCAAAGGCCUGGUGCUUGUUGACUAAUGGAAUUAUCACUCAUCAUAUGAUGACUUGGAAGUGCUCUCUAAUGGUGGUUAGGUGAGCCAACCAAAGUUGGGCUUAAUCAUUCGUUGGUUAGAUGCACUAAGUAUGGUCAUGUUAAUGGUUGGACCUAAUCGGAUCCUUAUAGUGGAGGCC
This 223-nucleotide long non-coding RNA is filed under the name Elaeis guineensis (African oil palm). RNAcentral's name for it is "long non-coding RNA (EGUI_LNC079774)". Lineage: Eukaryota; Viridiplantae; Streptophyta; Magnoliopsida; Arecales; Arecaceae. The record is from RNAcentral.